AAAUUAGUCAAAUUUUUCCAGUGUUCUGACUGCUAAUCUGCCAUUGACCUGACAAACAAAGAAUAAAGAUUCUUGCAAAUAAAACCCCUAAAGACUAGCAGAAUAUCACACAAACUUGUCUGCUAAUGAGAGAACUGUGAGAGAACUGUGAGAGACAGCAGAAUCAGAAAUGGAAACAGUACAGGUGAAUUCCCUCCCCUUUUACCUUUUAUUGCCAACAGGAAGGGCGUGGCCAGAGCCUGACUGGACCAAUGGAUAAUGCAGAUCAGCUGCUCCCAGUGACUAAUUAACAGCCAGUCUCCAAGACACUGAUCAACAGCUGAUCCACAUCAGCAAGCCCUACAAUCAACCAAGUCAAAGUCAAAGGAAUCUCGAACUGAGUGACCACGAAAUCGAGAAGAAAUAUCGAAACAAGCCAAAACUAAAUAACAUCCACUGAAGGAAACUAGGAUACAGAGAGGUGGCAGUUAUCUCCACAGCACCUCUGACCCAGUGCAAACUUCACAUGGCAAAUCCAGAGAGGAGGAGACAGAAGUCCAGACAAAAGGUCAGAGGUUGAGUUCGUUUCCCGAGAGAAGAAUCCGGAUCAGGGCUACACCUCCCACAAUCAAAACCCCAUGAGCUACGCAAGACCUGCCUCUUCAAUGUUAAAAUGUCCCUCAACAGUUUGCUAUGUUUUGCAAUGAUUCACCUUUAAUUCUGCAUUCCAGUGGCAUUUUAUUUUGGUUCACCUGCAAUGCUAUGUUCUGUAUAAACAUCUUGCUACAUCUCGGUACAGUUUGCACUUCAUGCUGUGGACGUACUGUGGAUGUGAGUUCAGUACAGACUGUGGGUGUAAUACAGACUAGAGGCCACAGAGACCUUGCACAUCUGCAUUUACUUCAGGGUACUGCAAGUGUUAAGAAUCAUUUAGUCUUUUACAGUUUGACACGGUGAAAUGUGUACUAAUUCUCUGUAAACCAGUGCUAGUCAUUGCAUUGCACUUUAUUCAAACAUUUUUUGUUUGUUCGUUCGUCUUUUUUUUGUUUGCUUUUUUUUUGUUUUGCUAUACAAUGUUUGACAGGCCUCAAAGUGCCUGAACUAUGUACCUGUGUGACAACAAGAGAACAAACACUGCACGUUAAUCACAGCCUCUGGCAGAGUUGCUAGCACAGCUCUCGAAUCAAAGAGCAUUUGGAAUGUUGUUAAGCCGAUCUCCGUCUUUCUUUGGUGAUGAGCAGCAAGGUGGUCCAGCGCAGGAGAAGACACGAAAUCCAGCAGGCCCUGCUAGCGUACAGCUAAUUUAUCAUCAGCAUCCUGCUAAUUCUGUUUGAGUAUACAAGGACUCACGUACUGUUUUGUGUUGCAGGGGUAUGGGUGAGGUACCUUCUCCUGAGUCACUAUACCAAGUACGGUUACCCAUGACAAUCCUAUUUAACAGAAGAGAAAUGUAUCAUAAAAUGCGGCCUUUGCUCGGGGUUAUCUGAUACUGAAGUGAACAAUGCAGAGGAAAGCGGAGUUGAGUGAGCCACAGCGCAGCAACUGCCGAUCAGCCUCAGCUCUGUCUCAGGUCCAGCCUGACUGAAGCAAUCGCCAAUCAACCUCAGCUCUGUCUCAGGUCCAGCCUGACUGAAACAAUCGCCAAUCAGCCUCAGCUCUGUCUCAGGUUCAGCCUGACUGACGCGGCUCCAGAUCAGCCUCAGCUGUGUCAGGCAGGCCAAUCGCCCUCAGCUGUUUCUCAGGUCCAGUCUGACCGAAGGGACCACCAAUCAGCCUCAGCUCUGUCUCAGGUCCAGCCGUAAAUUCAACCACGGGACUAGUCAAAGUCAUAGCUUUUGUCUCGUCUUAUGAUUCAUUUCAAAUGAGGAUCAAUCCUUCUCUAUGCUGAAAUAAGAAAAAAAAGAUGAAGAAAGCAGACUGCUCAAUUAAGAUUUUGGAAGAAUGGAAAGCGUGGCUUUUAAGUAUAACUUU
This is a long non-coding RNA of Anguilla rostrata (American eel), 1950 nucleotides long. RefSeq lists it as uncharacterized. The record is from RefSeq and is a predicted model, not a curated record. Lineage: Eukaryota; Metazoa; Chordata; Actinopteri; Anguilliformes; Anguillidae. The transcript is spliced from 4 exons.